Molecule: long non-coding RNA, 660 nt
Filed under: Helianthus annuus (common sunflower)
Lineage: Eukaryota; Viridiplantae; Streptophyta; Magnoliopsida; Asterales; Asteraceae
Description: hypothetical non coding rna
Source: RNAcentral
GCGACAGUGGUGACUACCGGAAGUGGAGAUGACCUCUGGUCACCGGACAAGUGAUGAUUGACGAUGGUAGCAGCUUGGUUAUCAGGAUAUGUAUGAGAUUAUGGCACUGGAUAGAGGUGAUGAACUGCCGCAGGUGAUGAUGGCGCUAACGCGAGACGGGCAACUCUACCCGAGCCUCGCUAAAGGUUGAAAAGAGGUGAACAGCUGGGUUGAAAAGAGGGAACAGUGGUCAGAAGGGUGAAAAGAGGGAACAGUGGUCAGAAGCAUGCUCUAUACAACAUCUACUUUUGUUUUGUCAACUGUAAAGCUGGGUUGAAAAGUAGAUGUCAAAAGUACAACAUCUACUGUUGAAAAGCAUGCUCUGUGCCCCCAUUUUUUUAUUUGUUUUGUGCCCCUAAAACCGAUGAGUCGGCCCUUUUUGACUCAUGGUGCUGUUUCAUUUUUGAAAGCUCUUUAAUAAUGAUUUUGUUUUCCCAUUUUCCAACAGUUACAUCUUUUGUUUUCUAAUUAGCCAUUUUUUUAGUUUCCAACCGUUGCAUCUAUUGUUUUCUUAUUAGACAAAACAUCUAUUGAAGGUAUAAUAUUUACUCUUGUUACAACUGAAAGGCUUUCUCCCAGCAGAGAUUGUAUAGUAGUUUACUAUAAAAGAAUGAGCUUAUU